CCUACGGGUGGCAGCAGUGAGGAAUAUUGGUCAAUGGUCGGGAGACUGAACCAGCCAAGCCGCGUGAGGGAUGAAGGUACAGAGUAUCGUAAACCUCUUUUGUCAGGGAACAAAGGCGGGGACGUGUCCCCGGAUGAGUGUACCUGAAGAAAAAGCAUCGGCUAACUCCGUGCCAGCAGCCGCGGUAAUACGGAGGAUGCGAGCGUUAUCCGGAUUUAUUGGGUUUAAAGGGUGCGCAGGCGGUCUGUUAAGUCAGCGGUGAAAGCCCGGGGCUCAACCCCGGCCCCGCCGUUGAAACGGGCAGUCUCGAGUUGGAGAGAAGUAGGCGGAAUGCGCGGUGUAGCGGUGAAAUGCAUAGAUAUCGCGCAGAACUCCGAUUGCGAAGGCAGCAUGCCGGCUCCACACUGACGCUGAGGCACGAAAGCGUGGGUAUCGAAUAGGAUUAGAUACCCCUGUAGUC
RNAcentral lists this ribosomal RNA (460 nucleotides) under uncultured bacterium. RNAcentral describes it as "partial 16S ribosomal RNA". It matches the Rfam family "Bacterial small subunit ribosomal RNA", at positions 338 to 795 of the family's 1533-position model. The record is from RNAcentral.